GUUAGCGGCGGACGGGUGAGUAACGCGUGGAUAACCUACCUAUAAGACUGGGAUAACUUCGGGAAACCGGAGCUAAUACCGGAUAAUAUUUUGAACCGCAUGGUUCAAAAGUGAAAGACGGUCUUGCUGUCACUUAUAGAUGGAUCCGCGCUGCAUUAGCUAGUUGGUAAGGUAACGGCUUACCAAGGCAACGAUGCAUAGCCGACCUGAGAGGGUGAUCGGCCACACUGGAACUGAGACACGGUCCAGACUCCUACGGGAGGCAGCAGUAGGGAAUCUUCCGCAAUGGGCGAAAGCCUGACGGAGCAACGCCGCGUGAGUGAUGAAGGUCUUCGGAUCGUAAAACUCUGUUAUUAGGGAAGAACAUAUGUGUAAGUAACUGUGCACAUCUUGACGGUACCUAAUCAGAAAGCCACGGCUAACUACGUGCCAGCAGCCGCGGUAAUACGUAGGUGGCAAGCGUUAUCCGGAAUUAUUGGGCGUAAAGCGCGCGUAGGCGGUUUUUUAAGUCCGAUGUGAAAGCCCACGGCUCAACCGUGGAGGGUCAUUGGAAACUGGAAAACUUGAGUGCAGAAGAGGAAAGUGGAAUUCCAUGUGUAGCGGUGAAAUGCGCAGAGAUAUGGAGGAACACCAGUGGCGAAGGCGACUUUCUGGUCUGUAACUGACGCUGAUGUGCGAAAGCGUGGGGAUCAAACA
RNAcentral lists this ribosomal RNA (696 nucleotides) under uncultured Staphylococcus sp. RNAcentral describes it as "bacterial SSU rRNA". It matches the Rfam family "Bacterial small subunit ribosomal RNA", at positions 91 to 774 of the family's 1533-position model. Lineage: Bacteria; Bacillati; Bacillota; Bacilli; Caryophanales; Staphylococcaceae. The record is from RNAcentral.